RNAcentral lists this ribosomal RNA (446 nucleotides) under uncultured bacterium. RNAcentral describes it as "bacterial SSU rRNA". It matches the Rfam family "Bacterial small subunit ribosomal RNA", at positions 329 to 792 of the family's 1533-position model. The record is from RNAcentral.
UUCCAGACUCCUACGGGAGGCAGCAGUGGGGAAUAUUGCACAAUGGGGGAAACCCUGAUGCAGCGACGCCGCGUGAGUGAAGAAGUACUUCGUUAUGUAAAGCUCUAUCAGCAGGGAAGAAAAUGACGGUACCUGAGUAAGAAGCCCCGGCUAACUACGUGCCAGCAGCCGCGGGAAUACGUAGGGGGCAAGCGUUAUCCGGAUUUACUGGGUGUAAAGGGGGCGCAGACGGCGAUGCAAGCCAGGAGUGAAAGCCCGGGGCCCAACCCCGGGACUGCUCUUGGAACUGCGUGGCUAGAGUGCAGGAGGGGCAGGCGGAAUUCCUGGUGUAGCGGUGAAAUGCGGAGAUAUCAGGAGGAACCCCGGUGGCGAAGGCGGCCUGCUGGACUGCAAAUGACGUUGAGGCCCGAAAGCGUGGGGAGCAAACAGGAUUAGAUACCCCUGUA